GUAGGUGAACCAGCGGAAGGAUCAUUACCGAGUGCGGGUCUUUAUGGCCCAACCUCCCAAACCCCAAUGUGAACGAUUGUACCAAUCUGUUGCCUCGGCGGGCCCGCCAGCGUUCUCUGGCCGCCGGGCGGCGACUCGCAGCCCCGGAUCCCAUGGCGCCCGCCGGAGGACCCCAACAUCCAAACUCUGUUUUUCUCUCCGAAACGGCUCCCGUCGCAGCUCUGUUUUAGUGUUGAUCUGAGCCUUUCUCGGCGACCCUAGCGGGCGUCACGAAAAUGAAUCAAAACUUUCAACAACGGAUCUCUUGGUUCCGGCAUCGAUGAAGAACGCAGCGAAAUGCGAUAACUAAUGUGAAUUGCAGAAUUCAGUGAAUCAUCGAAUCUUUGAACGCACAUUGCGCCCGCCAGGUAUUCCGGCGGGCAUGCCUGUCCGAGCGUCAUUGCAACCCUCGAACCCCUCCGGCGGGUCGGCGUUGGGCACUCGGCCCCCGGCUCACCGGGCGACGCCCCCGAAAGACAGCGGCGGUCACGCCGCAGUCCGCUCCUCGAGCAGUAGUGGGGCAUCAUCUUCCGCACCGGGAGGCCCGGCGCGGCGCACAGCCGUACGCAAACACCCGCAAACUUCUGUUUUUAAAGGUUGACCUCGGAUCAGGUAGGAAUACCCGCUGAACUUAAGCAUAUCAAUAAGCGGAGGAAAA
This 697-nucleotide ribosomal RNA is filed under the name Trichoderma sp. BAB-3387. RNAcentral's name for it is "eukaryotic LSU rRNA". The stretch from base 285 to 439 matches the Rfam family "5.8S ribosomal RNA". The record is from RNAcentral. Lineage: Eukaryota; Fungi; Ascomycota; Sordariomycetes; Hypocreales; Hypocreaceae.